GUGUUCUCUUCGAUAGCACAUAUACUAAAAUUGGAAUGAUACAAAGAAGAUUAGCAUGGCCCCUGCACAAGGAUGACAUGCAAAUUCAUGAAGCAUUCCAUAUUUUU
Small nuclear RNA from Otolemur garnettii (small-eared galago), 107 nucleotides. The record is from Ensembl. NCBI's taxonomy places the organism in Eukaryota, Metazoa, Chordata, Mammalia, Primates, Galagidae.